Long non-coding RNA from Drosophila navojoa, 111 nucleotides. NCBI's taxonomy places the organism in Eukaryota, Metazoa, Arthropoda, Insecta, Diptera, Drosophilidae. The record is from RefSeq and is a predicted model, not a curated record.
UGUCUGUGUGUUGAGUGUGUCUUAUAGCUAGUGUGUUUGUGUGUGUGUCUGUAAUACAUGAAAUUUCGCAUAAUACUAGAAACAUUAGAAUCAUUAAGAACUAUUCGUAAC